CAGUAGCCGCGGGAAUACGAAGGGGGCUAGCGUUGCUCGGAAUUACUGGGCGUAAAGGGCGCGUAGGCGGACAGUUCAGUCGGGGGUGAAAGCCCGGGGCUCAACCUCGGAAUUGCCUUCGAUACUGGCUGUCUUGAGUAUGAGAGAGGUGUGUGGAACUCCGAGUGUAGAGGUGAAAUUCGUAGAUAUUCGGAAGAACACCAGUGGCGAAGGCGACACACUGGCUCAUUACUGACGCUGAGGCGCGAAAGCGUGGGGAGCAAACAGGAUUAGAUACCCCAGUAGUCCCUGUCUCUUAUAC
RNAcentral lists this ribosomal RNA (301 nucleotides) under uncultured bacterium. RNAcentral's name for it is "partial 16S ribosomal RNA". It matches the Rfam family "Bacterial small subunit ribosomal RNA", at positions 509 to 807 of the family's 1533-position model. The record is from RNAcentral.